GUGGGUCCAUUAGUGGCAAAUGGUAGUAAAUAUAGGAAAAGAAGUAGAGUAAAAAAGUACAAAAAAUAGAAUAGGGCUUUAAUUUGUGGACAAAAAUUUAAGAGCAAGUAGGGCAUUAAAUUGUGGACGGAUGGAGUAUUUAACAAUUCAUGGAUUCCAUUAUCAUAAUUACUACAUUUACCACAAUAGAUAUAUCAAAUUGAUACAACACAUAAUUAAUAUUAAAAUAAAAAACACACACAAAUAAAGGUAAAAAAAAAACUAAAAAAGAGCAAGAAAACAGGAAAAAGAGAAUAAAAAACGAUAAUUUUAAAGAAAGAACAAACAAUUGAAAAAAUGGGAGAACUUUUCGAAAAAAGAAUUAAAAACUACUUUUGUAGCCGUAGAACACGCCCACGAGCCGCACAAUAGGCGCGUACAUUGCACACGCUCUAGUUAUGCGUGUUGGACAAUAAUUGUAGCUCACACGCUCGUCCUAUCUCCUUCUCAGUGGGGCCCAUCUUUGUAGUUAUUACCCAGGUAGCAAUUUUGUUACUUUACGAAAAAUUACUAUCCC
This 556-nucleotide long non-coding RNA is filed under the name Salvia miltiorrhiza (redroot sage). RNAcentral describes it as "long non-coding RNA (SMIL_LNC009478)". Lineage: Eukaryota; Viridiplantae; Streptophyta; Magnoliopsida; Lamiales; Lamiaceae. The record is from RNAcentral.